GGCAGGGGGAAUGAGAUAAGAAGGAAGUUGGGUCUGGUAUUUGAGAUCAGGUCUGAACAAGGUCCUGCUCUCUGGUGCUUUCCUGGUUUGAUGGGAAUAUCCUCAGAGUCUCUCCCAGGACCCAGGCAGGAGGUGGACCUUCAUAUCAUCAAAUCAUUCAGUAAACUGAAAAGCCCACUUCACUACUUCCACUCUACUGAGAAAUGCUGAGCUGAGAGCUGGAAGGAUUUUUGGAUGUUUUCCUGACAUUAGGCUGAUGAGU
This is a long non-coding RNA of Oxyura jamaicensis (ruddy duck), 262 nucleotides long. RefSeq lists it as uncharacterized. The record is from RefSeq and is a predicted model, not a curated record. The transcript is spliced from 3 exons. NCBI's taxonomy places the organism in Eukaryota, Metazoa, Chordata, Aves, Anseriformes, Anatidae.